RNAcentral lists this ribosomal RNA (390 nucleotides) under uncultured bacterium. Its description in RNAcentral is "bacterial SSU rRNA". It matches the Rfam family "Bacterial small subunit ribosomal RNA", at positions 28 to 419 of the family's 1533-position model. The record is from RNAcentral.
GACGAACGCUGGCGGCGUGCUUAACACAUGCAAGUCGAGCGGUAAGGCCCUUUCGGGGGUACACGAGCGGCGAACGGGUGAGUAACACGUGGGUGACCUGCCCUCAGCUCUGGGAUAAGCCUGGGAAACCGGGUCUAAUACUGGAUAUGACUCCAUGACGCACGUUGUGGGGUGGAAAGCCUUGUGCGGCUGAGGAUGGGCCCGCGGCCUAUCAGCUUGUUGGUGGGGUGAUGGCCUACCAAGGCGACGACGGGUGGCCGGCCUGAGAGGGCGACCGGCCACACUGGGACUGAGACACGGCCCAGACUCCUACGGGAGGCAGCAGUGGGGAAUCUUGCGCAAUGGGCGAAAGCCUGACGCAGCGACGCCGCGUGAGGGAUGACGGCCUGG